UGGGGAAUAUUGCACAAUGGGCGCAAGCCUGAUGCAGCCAUGCCGCGUGUGUGAAGAAGGCCUUCGGGUUGUAAAGCACUUUCAGCGAGGAGGAAGGGUUCAGUGUUAAUAGCACUGUUCAUUGACGUUACUCGCAGAAGAAGCACCGGCUAACUCCGUGCCAGCAGCCGCGGUAAUACGGAGGGUGCAAGCGUUAAUCGGAAUUACUGGGCGUAAAGCGCACGCAGGCGGUUUGUUAAGUCAGAUGUGAAAUCCCCGCGCUUAACGUGGGAACUGCAUUUGAAACUGGCAAGCCUAGAGUCUUGUAGAGGGGGGUAGAAUUCCAGGUGUAGCGGUGAAAUGCGUAGAGAUCUGGAGGAAUACCGGUGGCGAAGGCGGCCCCCCUGGACAA
RNAcentral lists this ribosomal RNA (391 nucleotides) under uncultured bacterium. Its description in RNAcentral is "partial 16S ribosomal RNA". It matches the Rfam family "Bacterial small subunit ribosomal RNA", at positions 355 to 736 of the family's 1533-position model. The record is from RNAcentral.